AUUGAACGCUGGCGGCAGGCCUAACACAUGCAAGUCGAGCGUGCGGCGGACGGGUGUGUAAUGUAUGGGGAAUGCCAGAUAGAGGGGGUUAACUACUGGAAACGGUGGCUAAUACCGAAUACUAUCGGAUAACCCAUAGUGGAUUAGCUAGUAGGUGGGGUAAAGGUUCGCCUAGGCGACGCUCUCUGGCUGGUCUGAGAGGAUGAUGAGGCACACUGGGGCUGUGACACGGCCCAGACUCCGACGGAGGGAGGAGUGGGGGAUAUUGCACAAUGGGCGCAAGCCUGAUGCAGCCAUGGCGCGUGUAUGAAGAGGGCCUUAGGGUUGUAGAGUACUUUCAGCGGGGAGGCGUUACCCGCAGAAGAAGCACCGGCUAACUCCGUGCCAGCAGCCGCGGUAAUUC
RNAcentral lists this ribosomal RNA (403 nucleotides) under uncultured bacterium. RNAcentral describes it as "partial 16S ribosomal RNA". It matches the Rfam family "Bacterial small subunit ribosomal RNA", at positions 30 to 526 of the family's 1533-position model. The record is from RNAcentral.